AGAGAAGGGCAGGGGAGGAGUGAGGGCUUGGCAGGGCUCUCCCCAAAGGGUGCCUGAAGCGUGAGUCCAGUGGUCCUGAAUUCCUGUGAGGGUAGGUCCUCCCUGCAAGUGGGUCCCCAAGGCCCAUAUGACAAUGUGAGGCUUGGAUAUCCUGGCACUGGUGCAGGGCAAAGCAAGUUUCAGAGGAGGAGAGAGGAAGACGCCUAGCAUCUUUGGGGCAGGGGGCUGCUGGGGAGGGGGAUUGGAAGGCUGGCAUAUAUGAGGGACACUCGGUGGUAAAAAGGAGCAGGAUCUGGGGACUGAUGGGUAGAUACUGGGGGUCAUGACUCCUGACUUGGGCAGCCAAGGAUACAGUGGGAUGGAGGACAAAUGGGCAGUCUCGGGUCCCUGGGGAACUGUGGGGCAUCUGAGCUGUGCCCCAGACCCAGGUCUCAGCCCUUUCCUUGCAUUGUCUCACGUCAGCCUUUCACUAGCCCUGAGAUGCUUGGGAACUGGCCUUGUCCCCAUUUUACAGAUGAAUACACUGAGGCCCAGGGAGGUUAAAUUGCUGACCCAGCCAGGAAGGGACAGUGCUGGAUUUGAAUCCAUGCAACUGCCUCUGGAAGCUACUUCGGUCGUCGUAAUUCCCAAAUGUUAUAUAACCCUGUGCAUGGGGAGGGGAGAGCAGGGCUCCCUGUGGCUGGAAUCAGGCCUCGGAAUUUUCCAGAGACCAGAUUUCAGAGUCUGGCCCAGCCAAGCCACCAGGGAUAGGAAACACCUUGUGAGUUGUCACAUGCCCUCCUGGCAUGUCCACUGGGGGCACCAAGGUCACGGGAGACUCUGAGGGGGCCCCAGUGCAUUUGGUGGAGCAAGACUCUGGCACCUUUGCAGGGGAGCGGCUUCAGCACCAGGGCCAAGGACUCCGGGCCAGUGCAGGGGGCCAGGAGCCCAAGUCCCUGCUAAUGAGAACCAGGUGCAGUGUGACAGAGGAAGGCAGCUUGGGGUCCGUGGGUCUGAGCCAGCAUAUCGUUGAUGCCCUGGAACCCACAGGGGCAGGGAGCCAGUUCCUUGUCGGUAGCACAGCUCUGCUGCCCUGCUAAUUCAGGUAUUUGUGCAGAGACAGUGACAGAUCUGCCCCACCCUUAUGAAACUCUGAACAGGAGAUCACCCAGACCUAACCAAAGCUGAGGAUCGGGGUAGCUUCCAGAGGCCACCCUGAGAAAGCCAGGCCCCUUCCUGGCAGUGGCUUAUCCCUGAGGUAGGUGCUGUUCUUAGCCCCGUGUUACAGAUGAUGAAACUGAGGCUCAGGAGGGCACCUGCAAGUCAGAGUCACCUGUCUUGAGCUCCUGCCCAACCUCCAUCCUGCACCCCAGGCCUCUCUCUUCUCCCCACCUCCAGGGAGCCCAUGAGGAGCACUUAGGCUGGGGCAGACGGCUGAGCCCAUUGGACUCCCAGAAGCUUCCUGGGGGAAAGAAAUUCAAAGUUCUGGCACUUCACAGCAGGCCUGUCAGCUGACACCCUCUGCAGACACCAGCUCUCCCCCUGUCCCCACAGCCUGCUGUUUUUCUGGCUGAGCCUCCACCACGGGCCUGGGGAGACCUCCCUUUCACAGCCUGCACCCUCCUGGGCGGGAACACUUCCUCCAGCACUCUGGAAUGGAAAAACUUUAUAAUAAAAUAAAAAGCUUAGUUGUUUAUAGCAGCCCUAUUUACAACAGCCAAAAGGUGGAAACCACCUGGGUGUCCAUUGACCAAUGAUGGAUAAACAUACUGUGUUCCCUUCUUACAAAGGAGUAUGAUUCAGCCUUAAAAAGGCAGGAGAUGGAGUUCCCAGCAUGCCUCAGCAGUAAACGAAUCUGACUAGCAUCCAUGAGGUCGCAGGUUCGAUCCCUAGCCUCGCUCAGUGGGUUAAGGAUCUGGCAUUGCCAUGAGUUGUGGUGUAGGUCACAGACUCAGCUUGGAUCCUGUGUUGCUGUGGCCAGCAGCUGUAGCUCCAAUUCAACCCCUAGCCUAGGAACCUCCAUAUGCUGAGGGCAAGGCCCUAAAAAGCAAAACUAACUAAAUAAAUAAAAAGGCAGGAGAUUCUGACACCUGUUCCAAUGUGGAUGGACCUUGAGGACAUGAUGCUCAGUGAGAGAAGCCAGACAGAGAAGGACAAAGACUGUCUGACUCCACUCCGGGGGUCCCUAGAGAAGUCAGAUCCACAGAGACAGGCAGGAGAUGGUGGGGCAGGGGCUGCGGGAGUGGAUGUUUCAUGAGGACAGAGUUUCAGUUUAGGAAGAUGAGAAAAUUCUGGAGAUGAUGGUGGGGAUGCUUCUACAACAGUGUGAAUGUGCUUAAUGCUGCUGAGCUGUGCACUUAGAAACAGUUAAGAACAGGAGUUACCUGUGGCUCAUCAGGUUAAGGAUCCGACAUUGUCACUGUUGUGGUGUGGGUUCAAUCUCUGGCCUGGGACUGUCAUGCUGUGUACACGGCCAACAAAAAUGACCAAAAAAAAUAGUUAAGAUGGUGAAUUUUGUCUUAUUGUAUAUUUCACCACAAUAAAAAGUGAAAGCCAUCUUAGAUUCCCCACCCUCAAAAACCACAGGGUUAGGGGGCUGACACCCCCAUUUUACAGAUGAGCAAACUGAAGCACCGUAUGUGUGGCAAACACAGGGUUGCAGUUUUGCAAAGGAGCAGGCGCUGGGUCGCUGAAUAGGGCUAUGUGACUCUCCCAAGCUGACCCCUGACAGGCUCAGGAGGCCAGGGUGGCCGUGGGCUGUUACCCUGGCCUGAUCACUCGGCCCCCUGAGUCCCUGCACUCCGGGCCACAGGUUUGACUCCUUUCCAGCCUGUUCUUUCCCUGACCUGAGAUAACUCCCCAGACUCAGCAGAUUUCCUGGGAGAAGCGCCGUGGAGCCUUGCUCAAAAUACCUGCUUCAGGUGGAGGGCUGGCUGCUGAGACAGCGCAGGGGCACGAGGACUAGAGAGGCUCCCUGGGGGAGGCAGGCACAUGGCCUGGGCACAGCCCCCUCCCUCCAGAACCAGGGAGGAAGCAGGCAGGCCAGGAGUGACUCAGCCUGGCUCCUGGGUCCCUCUCUAGCCUCUUGCCUCCUGGACUUUGAAAUGCAGUGAAUGCCCUCCUGCCUGUACUUGAGAGCCUUCAGCCAGCCUUCUAAGUUCCCUGGGGACCAGCCUUGGCAGCAGAGUGGGCGGAAGGGGACCUCACCACUGUGUUCCAGAAACCCCAUGACUUCAGCUGCCCACUGCCUGGAGGCUGGCCUUGCUGGGGGGCAGGGGCGCCUGCACCUGGGUGCCCUCUCCCCUGAGCAUCCAUCCUCCAGGAACAAAUAUUGCCCUGGCCUCUCCCAGCACCAGUUGUUACUAGCUUCUUCUAGUAGCACUGUCCUCUUUUGUCCUCGAGAACACCUCUCUGUGGGCUUUUUCCCACCUUUCUCGCCUUUCCCUUUGAGGCUCCUCCUUCUCCUGGAGCCCAGGCUCCAUUCAGAGGCCCCCUGUCCCCUUCCUGCACUCUCUUUGGCUGAUGUGGUCCAGGCUAGCAGGAGACUGACAUGGGCAGCUUGCCUCUCCUCCCUCUCUCAGUCUGGUCUCCACCAGAAGCAGAGCCUGAAGCAAGGGUUUAGUGCAGUGAGUUGAUUUAAAAGCAGGAGAGAGGGGCUGGGCUGGGCAGGAUGAGGCAGGAUGGGGCCUGGUGACCAUUGGGAGCCCCUGAGCAGAUCCUUCCUAGGACUGCCUGCCCACAGGGAUGGCGAGGGGUGCAUCGACCCCCUGGCAUCUGCCCCUCAUUGGCUGAGGCCUCCACCCUGGAUGUUGGUGGACCUGUACACUGUGCUUGGCAUGGCUCCCACAUGGUCCUCACUGCAGCUUGGACAGUGAUGGUUUGAAAGGUGGGACAGGAAGGUGUGUGAGGGCACUGGGGGACCUCAGCAGAACCUUACCUGGGUUCAGCCACUCCGACCUCUUCCCUUUGACCUGUGAUACCAGGACACAGCCAGGGCGAGGGGGUGGACAGGGCCAGAGGGGGGAUCCAGAGUGCAAUUUUGGGGACAUUGCCCUCAAGAUGCCUGGCAGGGAGUCCCAGGGUGGUGCAGAAAAGGUGGAGCUGAAGAUACCCAGCAGCCUCCCUAGAAGCCAGGGCCAGGAUCAGCAGCAUUGAGGACAGCUACAGCCAGGCUGGAGGACAUGAUAUGUUUGGGCCCUCAAAGUCUCACAUAACUGGGGGAUGGCUGAGAGCUGGACUCAGGGGAUGCUCUGGGACCCAGGGACAGGAAGUCCAAUCUCUUCCUUCCAGCAAGAAGCCCUCUAGAGCCAAAUCAUCCACAAGGCUGCUAGAGGGCCCCAUGCCCCCCUCUCCCCCAUUAAGCACUCACUCAUCCUGGUCCAGUCACCCCGGCCUCUCUAUCAGUCCAAGAUCCCAUACCAAGCUCAUGGCACAUGCCAUUUGUAUGUGCCUUUGCACAUGCCAUUCUCUCUUCCCCAAACCUUCCUUGUUCCCUAGUCUUCACCCAGUGGCUCCUACUGGAAUGCAGGCAAAGGUGACCCACACGCUUGGGGCACCCUCACAACCCGAAAUCAUGUUAUUUCCUUGCUAGUUUGCUGGUUUCUGUCCCACGGGACUGGGGGUUCCACCAAGAGACAGGUUGUAUGUUUUCUCAGUGUGUCCCCUGUAGGCGGUAACCCAAAGCAGGUCUUGGGCAGGUCCAGACCCUCCCUGAGCUGCCCCAGAUCCAGCUGCUGUGUGCGGUAUCCUUGGGGUCCCGAGUGAGCACUGCUCCCCCAGGUGGAAACUCUUUCCCCAGUGUUCUCAGCUGAAUGGCGUCUCAGCCUCUGUUCAGGGACAUUGACUCUGGCUGCUUGUAAAGUGCUGGGUGGGCAUCAGAACCAGCCAGAGUUCCACAAGAAUAAUCCCUAUUUCAUCUGCUUGGGUCUUUUGACCAAUUAUGAGAGAACUAGCCCAAUGUUGUGUGGGUUCCUGGAUGCAAUCCUGGAACAGACAAGGGAAAUUAGUUAAAAAAACAAAAAAAAAACUGGUAGAAUCCAAAUAAAAUUUGGAGUUUGGUCAACAGGCAGUGUAAUGACUAAUAUUAUUAAUUAGUCGUGGUAAUAUGCUAAUGUCAAUAUCAGUUCUUUAGAGGUGACAAAAUACUGCAAACUUGGUAGCUUAAGAAAACACACAUUUAGGAGUUCCCGUUGUGGCGCAGUGGUUAAGAGAACCCACUAGGAACCAUGAGGUUGCAGGUUCGAUCCCUGGCCUUGCUCAGUGGGUUAAGGAUCCGGCGUUGCCGUGAGCUGUGGUGUAGGUCACAGAUGUGGCUUGGAUCCCGCGUUGCUGUGGCUCUGGUGUAGACUGGUGGCGACAGCUCUGAUUAGACCCCUAGCCUGGGAACCUCCAUAUGCCAUGGGAGCGGCCCUAGAAAAGGCAAAAAG
This 5405-nucleotide long non-coding RNA is filed under the name Sus scrofa (pig). RNAcentral's name for it is "lncRNA (ENSSSCG00000056068.1)". The record is from RNAcentral. Lineage: Eukaryota; Metazoa; Chordata; Mammalia; Artiodactyla; Suidae.